RNAcentral lists this ribosomal RNA (1536 nucleotides) under Bacteroides fragilis. RNAcentral describes it as "bacterial SSU rRNA". It matches the Rfam family "Bacterial small subunit ribosomal RNA". The record is from RNAcentral. Lineage: Bacteria; Pseudomonadati; Bacteroidota; Bacteroidia; Bacteroidales; Bacteroidaceae.
CUUUUACAAUGAAGAGUUUGAUCCUGGCUCAGGAUGAACGCUAGCUACAGGCUUAACACAUGCAAGUCGAGGGGCAUCAGGAAGAAAGCUUGCUUUCUUUGCUGGCGACCGGCGCACGGGUGAGUAACACGUAUCCAACCUGCCCUUUACUCGGGGAUAGCCUUUCGAAAGAAAGAUUAAUACCCGAUGGCAUAAUGAUUCCGCAUGGUUUCAUUAUUAAAGGAUUCCGGUAAAGGAUGGGGAUGCGUUCCAUUAGGUUGUUGGUGAGGUAACGGCUCACCAAGCCUUCGAUGGAUAGGGGUUCUGAGAGGAAGGUCCCCCACAUUGGAACUGAGACACGGUCCAAACUCCUACGGGAGGCAGCAGUGAGGAAUAUUGGUCAAUGGGCGCUAGCCUGAACCAGCCAAGUAGCGUGAAGGAUGAAGGCUCUAUGGGUCGUAAACUUCUUUUAUAUAAGAAUAAAGUGCAGUAUGUAUACUGUUUUGUAUGUAUUAUAUGAAUAAGGAUCGGCUAACUCCGUGCCAGCAGCCGCGGUAAUACGGAGGAUCCGAGCGUUAUCCGGAUUUAUUGGGUUUAAAGGGAGCGUAGGUGGACUGGUAAGUCAGUUGUGAAAGUUUGCGGCUCAACCGUAAAAUUGCAGUUGAUACUGUCAGUCUUGAGUACAGUAGAGGUGGGCGGAAUUCGUGGUGUAGCGGUGAAAUGCUUAGAUAUCACGAAGAACUCCGAUUGCGAAGGCAGCUCACUGGACUGCAACUGACACUGAUGCUCGAAAGUGUGGGUAUCAAACAGGAUUAGAUACCCUGGUAGUCCACACAGUAAACGAUGAAUACUCGCUGUUUGCGAUAUACAGUAAGCGGCCAAGCGAAAGCAUUAAGUAUUCCACCUGGGGAGUACGCCGGCAACGGUGAAACUCAAAGGAAUUGACGGGGGCCCGCACAAGCGGAGGAACAUGUGGUUUAAUUCGAUGAUACGCGAGGAACCUUACCCGGGCUUAAAUUGCAGUGGAAUGAUGUGGAAACAUGUCAGUGAGCAAUCACCGCUGUGAAGGUGCUGCAUGGUUGUCGUCAGCUCGUGCCGUGAGGUGUCGGCUUAAGUGCCAUAACGAGCGCAACCCUUAUCUUCAGUUACUAACAGGUCAUGCUGAGGACUCUGGAGAGACUGCCGUCGUAAGAUGUGAGGAAGGUGGGGAUGACGUCAAAUCAGCACGGCCCUUACGUCCGGGGCUACACACGUGUUACAAUGGGGGGUACAGAAGGCAGCUAGCGGGUGACCGUAUGCUAAUCCCAAAAGCCUCUCUCAGUUCGGAUCGAAGUCUGCAACCCGACUUCGUGAAGCUGGAUUCGCUAGUAAUCGCGCAUCAGCCACGGCGCGGUGAAUACGUUCCCGGGCCUUGUACACACCGCCCGUCAAGCCAUGGGAGCCGGGGGUACCUGAAGUACGUAACCGCAAGGAUCGUCCUAGGGUAAAACUGGUGACUGGGGCUAAGUCGUAACAAGGUAGCCGUACCGGAAGGUGCGGCUGGAACACCUCCUUUCU